CACUCAAGCACUGCUUGGUAUUGGGCAUCGUCCGCCGUAAAGGCGGGCGUGCCUCGAAGACCUCGGCGGGGUUUCUCCAACUUCGGGCGUAGUAGAGUUAAAUCAAACGUCUUAUAAGCUUGGUGAGAUCUCAUUGCCGUUAAACCCUUUAUAUUUUUCAGGUUGACCUCGGAUCAGGUAGGGAUACCCGCUGAACUUAA
RNAcentral lists this unclassified non-coding RNA (200 nucleotides) under soil metagenome. Its description in RNAcentral is "partial contains internal transcribed spacer 2 and large subunit ribosomal RNA". The record is from RNAcentral.